AUACGGAGGGUGCGAGCGUUGUUCGGAAUCACUGGGCGUAAAGGGCGCGCAGGCGGUUUGUCAAGUCAGAUGUGAAAGGCCACGGCUCAACCGUGGAGGUGCAUCUGAAACUGGCAGACUUGAGUACCGGAGGGGAAAGUGGAAUUCCCGGUGUAGAGGUGAAAUUCGUAGAUAUCGGGAGGAACACCGGAGGCGAAGGCGACUUUCUGGACGGAUACUGACGCUGAGGCGCGAAAGCGUGGGGAGCAAACAGGAUUAGAAACCCGAGUAGUCC
Molecule: ribosomal RNA, 274 nt
Filed under: uncultured bacterium
Lineage: Bacteria
Description: partial 16S ribosomal RNA
Rfam family: Bacterial small subunit ribosomal RNA
Source: RNAcentral